UAGCUCACUGGUCGAGUGACUCUGCGCCGAAAAUGUAACGGGGCUAAACACACCACCGAAGCUAUGGCUUGAUGCUUGCAUCAGGGGUAGGGGAGCGUUGAAUGCGGGUUGAAGGUGUACCGUAAGGAGCGCUGGACUGCAUUCAAGUGAGAAUGCCGGUAUGAGUAACGAAAAGAUCUGUGAGAAUCAGAUCCGCCGAAAGCCUAAGGGUUCCUGAGGAAGGUUCGUCCGCUCAGGGUAAGUCGGGACCUAAGGCGAGGCCGAUAGGCGUAGUCGAAGGACAACAGGUCGAAAUUCCUGUACCACCGUAAUCCGUUAUGAGCGAUGGGGUGACGCAGUAGGGUAGUGACGCGGACUGAUGGAUGUCCGUCUAAGCAGUGAGGCUGAUGUGUAGGCAAAUCCGCACAUCGUUAAGGCUGGGCUGUGAUGGGGAGCGAAAAUUGUAGUAGCGAAGGUCAUGAUCUCAGACUGCCAAGAAAAGCCUCUAGCCAGGAGAAGGUGCCCGUACCGCAAACCGACACAGGUAGGCGAGAAGAGAAUUCUAAGGCGCGCGGAAGAACUCUCGUUAAGGAACUCGGCAAAAUGACCCCGUAACUUCGGGAGAAGGGGUGCCUCGGUAGGGUGAAUAGCCCGAGGGGGCCGCAGUGAAAAGGCCCAAGCGACUGUUUAGCAAAAACACAGGUCUGUGCGAAGCCGCAAGGCGAAGUAUACGGGCUGACGCCUGCCCGGUGCUGGAAGGUUAAGGGGAGUGGUAAGCCCUUCGGGGCGAAGCUAUGAACCGAAGCCCCAGUAAACGGCGGCCGUAACUAUAACGGUCCUAAGGUAGCGAAAUUCCUUGUC
This 840-nucleotide ribosomal RNA is filed under the name Paenibacillus sp. EKM205P. RNAcentral's name for it is "partial 23S ribosomal RNA". It matches the Rfam family "Bacterial large subunit ribosomal RNA", at positions 1138 to 1973 of the family's 2925-position model. The record is from RNAcentral. Lineage: Bacteria; Bacillati; Bacillota; Bacilli; Caryophanales; Paenibacillaceae.